Molecule: long non-coding RNA, 276 nt
Filed under: Gopherus evgoodei (Goodes thornscrub tortoise)
Lineage: Eukaryota; Metazoa; Chordata; Testudines; Testudinidae
Description: lncRNA (ENSGEVG00005009160.1)
Source: RNAcentral
CUGCUUUCAAAUCCCAGUCCUUCCUGAGGGACAAUGAAGGAUUGGGGAGAGUCAGAGGAAGUUUUUUGAUGAGAAAUCAAAAGUUUAAAGGAUCUUAGUGUUCCCUGAUCUUCCUUUGCUUCUGCUGACUACAAUACCCUUUGUUUCACAAGAUUGGACCCAACAGGCUAGCUGAACUGAUCAUUGUGGUUGAGCUUUGCUGAAGCUAUCGAGUCUGACCUCUUGAGAAGCUCUCGAUCACAUUUGUUGAUAUUAACCUACUGACUAUGAGACCUU